Molecule: long non-coding RNA, 212 nt
Filed under: Phoenix dactylifera (date palm)
Lineage: Eukaryota; Viridiplantae; Streptophyta; Magnoliopsida; Arecales; Arecaceae
Description: long non-coding RNA (PDAC_LNC007100)
Source: RNAcentral
UUGUCAUUAUAUCAAAAAGGAGGUAAUCACACACAAUCAAUGGCACAAAUGGCACAACCAAUCAUCAAAUGGCACAGAAAUGAAGAUAAGAUGUCUACUCAUUGUAUUGAUAUGAAUGUGAAUAAAUUUGAGUAUACAAUAAGUAAAGCAAAACAAUACAAAACAAAAUAAAAAGAACAUCUAUGGUCUCCUCGAGGAUGAAGAGCCCCCCC